This 433-nucleotide ribosomal RNA is filed under the name uncultured bacterium. RNAcentral's name for it is "bacterial SSU rRNA". It matches the Rfam family "Bacterial small subunit ribosomal RNA", at positions 29 to 507 of the family's 1533-position model. The record is from RNAcentral.
AAUGAACGCUGGCGGCAGGCCUAACACAUGCAAGUCGAACGAAGCCUUCGGGUUUAGUGGCGGACGGGUGAGUAACGCGUGGGAACAUGCCCAAAGGUACGGAAUAGCCCUGGGAAACUGGGAGUAAUACCGUAUGUGCCCUUCGGGGGAAAGAUUUAUCGCCUUUGGAUUGGCCCGCGUUGGAUUAGGUAGUUGGUGGGGUAAUGGCCUACCAAGCCGACGAUCCAUAGCUGGUUUGAGAGGAUGAUCAGCCACACUGGGACUGAGACACGGCCCAGACUCCUACGGGAGGCAGCAGUGGGGAAUCUUAGACAAUGGGGGAAACCCUGAUCUAGCCAUGCCGCGUGAUCGAUGAAGGCCUUAGGGUUGUAAAGAUCUUUCAGAUGGGAAGAUAAUGACGGUACCAUCAGAAGAAGCCCCGGCUAACUCCGUG